This 267-nucleotide ribosomal RNA is filed under the name uncultured bacterium. RNAcentral's name for it is "partial 16S ribosomal RNA". It matches the Rfam family "Bacterial small subunit ribosomal RNA", at positions 29 to 289 of the family's 1533-position model. The record is from RNAcentral.
AUGAACGCUGGCGGCGUGCCUAACACAUGCAAGUCGAGCGGAGGUGUGGAGUAGUUUACUAUGAAGCAUCUUAGCGGCGGACGGGUGAGUAACGCGUGGGCAACCUGCCCUAUGCAGGGGGAUAACAUAUCGAAAGGUGUGCUAAAACCGCAUAAAGCUUAAGAAUCGCAUGAUUUUUAGGCCAAAGAUUUAUCGGCAUAGGAUGGGCCCGCGUCUGAUUAGCUAGUUGGUGAGGUAACGGCUCACCAAGGCGACGAUCAGUAGCCG